Molecule: long non-coding RNA, 235 nt
Organism: Thalassophryne amazonica
Lineage: Eukaryota; Metazoa; Chordata; Actinopteri; Batrachoidiformes; Batrachoididae
Exons: 3
Source: RefSeq, a predicted model, not a curated record
CAUAAAGGGAAUGUCAGCAGAGAGGCAUCAUCCAGCCUGCCUGACAAAGGUGAAAGAUUGGAACGAAGAACAUUCCUCACUGUCCGGAUCUGUCUCUCCCACACGCCUCCAGCAUGGCUCGCAUGCAGAGUGUUCAUGCUGAAGUCACACUGCUUUUCAGCCAAGAACGUGGUCAGACGAUUACCAUCCACUUGCUUAAGAGCUUCAUUGGGUUUGUUUUUAGCUCCAAGAAAAU